GACGAACGCUGGCGGCGUGCUUAACACAUGCAAGUCGAACGGAAAGGCCCUGCUUUUGUGGGGUGCUCGAGUGGCGAACGGGUGAGUAACACGUGAGUAACCUGCCCUUGACUUUGGGAUAACUUCAGGAAACUGGGGCUAAUACCGGAUAGGAGCUCCUGCUGCACGGUGGGGGUUGGAAAGUUUCGGCGGUUGGGGAUGGACUCGCGGCUUAUCAGCUUGUUGGUGGGGUAGUGGCUUACCAAGGCUUUGACGGGUAGCCGGCCUGAGAGGGUGACCGGCGACAUGGGGACUGAGAGACGGACCAGAAGCCUACGGGAGGCAGCGGUGGGGAAUAUUGCACAAUGGGCGGAAGCCUGAUGCAGCAACGCCGCGUGCGGGAUGACGGCCUUCGGGUUGUAAACCGCUUUCGCCUGUGACGAAGCGUGAGUGACGGUAAUGGGUAAAGAAGCACCGGCUAACUACGUG
RNAcentral lists this ribosomal RNA (468 nucleotides) under uncultured bacterium. RNAcentral's name for it is "partial 16S ribosomal RNA". It matches the Rfam family "Bacterial small subunit ribosomal RNA", at positions 28 to 507 of the family's 1533-position model. The record is from RNAcentral.